Uloborus diversus is the source of this 276-nucleotide long non-coding RNA. RefSeq lists it as uncharacterized. The record is from RefSeq and is a predicted model, not a curated record. NCBI's taxonomy places the organism in Eukaryota, Metazoa, Arthropoda, Arachnida, Araneae, Uloboridae. The transcript is spliced from 4 exons.
CGGAGCUUUGCCGCGUGCUUCGAUAUAAAAUUCAACUGUUCCAAAUACCGAAUAGUACCUGAGGGUGAUAAAGCUGAAACGGAGGACUUUAAAAGCUGAGGUGUUGAUUGAAGAACCUGCCACGUUAGAAGGACUGGAAAGCAACGAUGGACGGGAAACAGGCCGAAGAAGCAGGAGGCGUCGUUUGGCAGCUCAAACAGGAAAAUGCUACACUCCGAGAGCAGUCGGAAGAAAUGGGCCGGGAGAAUGAGAAACUGAGAUCGGAUCUGCGUAAAG